Molecule: unclassified non-coding RNA, 291 nt
Filed under: Hevea brasiliensis (rubber tree)
Lineage: Eukaryota; Viridiplantae; Streptophyta; Magnoliopsida; Malpighiales; Euphorbiaceae
Source: RNAcentral
UUAUGAUCCUUAGAUCCACUUGAAUGAAAUGUUUGCUUCAGGCUUGGAGACAAUGAUUUAUUUAAAACAAAUCCAUAUAGAAGAAUUUUGGAUGUGAAAAUUUAUUAAAUUUAUGAAUUAAAUUUAAAACAAAUCCAUUUCUAAUUAAUAAAAGAAUUUUUUUUUUUUUAACAAAACUCUUAAAUUUCAAAAUUAAAAAAUAAAAAUAAAAGCAAGUGCAAAAGUAUGAACCAUCUAUUGAUCUGAUCCGUACCCAAUGCACUGUGAAAAUGGCGAGUAUCCACGUUCUUG